ACAUGUAUGGAAGUUUCCAGAGAUGGAUUCGUGCUCGAAAGAGAGCCAUAACACAGGUGCUGCAUGGCUGUCGUCAGCUCGUGUCGUGAGAUGUUGGGUUAAGUCCCGCAACGAGCGCAACCCUUGUCAUUAGUUGCUACAUUUGGUUGGGCACUCUAAUGAGACUGCCGGUGACAAACCGGAGGAAGGUGGGGAUGACGUCAAGUCCUCAUGGCCCUUAUAGGUGGGGCUACACACGUCAUACAAUGGCCGGUACAAAGGGUCGCAAACCCGCGAGGGGGAGCCAAUCCAUCAAAGCCGGUCGUAGUCCGGAUCGCAGUCUGCAACUCGACUGCGUGAAGUCGGAAUCGCUAGUAAUCGUGGAUCUGCAUGUCACGGUGAAUACGUUCCCGGGUCUU
This 398-nucleotide ribosomal RNA is filed under the name uncultured Hydrogenophaga sp. RNAcentral's name for it is "bacterial SSU rRNA". It matches the Rfam family "Bacterial small subunit ribosomal RNA", at positions 984 to 1382 of the family's 1533-position model. Lineage: Bacteria; Pseudomonadati; Pseudomonadota; Betaproteobacteria; Burkholderiales; Comamonadaceae. The record is from RNAcentral.